ACACCAGUCUACACAUUAUUGUGCAGAGGGAAGAAACUGCAUAAAAUAGUCUAUUUAACAACCGAGAAAACAGGUAAACUUGACAGGCUUUGGAAGCAGACUAACUAUAGUUAGGCACUGGCAAAUGUAAGAAACAUAAUGUAAUCAUGUAUUCGUGCUUUUAUUGAACACAAAAUUAAUUUGAGAAAUGUUGAGGCUUGCAGCCUCUUUACAUAGCAUGCUGACCCUAACAGUAGACUGCCAAAGAAAACAAGGUGACAAAUAUUUCUGCUUGUUGAGCAAGAAAAGGAUCAAACAAAGGUCUGCAAGCAUCUAGUAAUUUGCUUUAAGAUAAGGAUAGUAACAUGUUUAGAGAAGAACGAAAACAGUGUUAUAAACUAGAGCUAUAAGUUUAUAUUCUAUUUUUAGAUGCUUAGCAAAAACUGUAUAAGUAAUGCAAGAGCAAAAAAUAAAGGUCUCAGUUCCACAUCAUAUUGGUGUACUGUCUGAUUCCUGCCUUAAGAUUGGACUUAGCAUCUGGGGACCCUGACGUGAUGAGCUUUGAUCCCGGGUGUGAAGAGUCUGGCUGAAAAGAAGUCUAAAGCUGAAAAGAAGAAGAAUCCUAUGGCAGUUGCGACCGGGCGUCCGAGAGAGAUGCGUGUGGCCACAAAACUCGACCGUAUGGAACUGUGACUCGAAUCACGCCAGAAGAAAAGAGAGAAAUAAGAGGACGGCAGCAGCAGAGAGCAGCAGCAGAGUGGGCAGUUCAACCCCCUCUCCCUCUCUAAGAAAAAGCACCGAGAUAAUACCCAGUUUGUUACAGAGUCAUGAUUUAUAGGGUUUUCAAUAUGUUUUUAUAUACCCUUUUAGAGUUAAUUUUGUGUUUUAAGUAAUUAUGAGCUUAUGCAGUUGCAACUUUUAGAGUUUUACUAGAGAAGUUAUUGUGAUUCUUUGAAAGUUAAAAAAAAAAAAAAAAGAGAAAAAGUGUUUAACAGAAGUUACCUUGCAAUAAUUAGUUUUAAAACCUAAAGUUAAAAUAUAGUGUGAUUUACAGCUCUAACAAAACCUUCCAAUUAAUGUUAUCUACAGAAGAGAUUUGUGGUUUAAAAAAUAAUUAGUUAAGAGAACUUUACUGUACAAGACAAAGUUAAGUUAGAGUAUAUAUUAUCUAUCUGCUUGUUUUUUCCACAAUUUUAAUAAAGAAAGUUCAAUGUGAGUCCUUUUGUUAUAU
RNAcentral lists this long non-coding RNA (1210 nucleotides) under Cyanistes caeruleus (blue tit). Its description in RNAcentral is "lncRNA (ENSCCEG00000023470.1)". The record is from RNAcentral. Lineage: Eukaryota; Metazoa; Chordata; Aves; Passeriformes; Paridae.